RNAcentral lists this ribosomal RNA (487 nucleotides) under uncultured bacterium. RNAcentral's name for it is "partial 16S ribosomal RNA". It matches the Rfam family "Bacterial small subunit ribosomal RNA", at positions 28 to 507 of the family's 1533-position model. The record is from RNAcentral.
GAUGAACGCUAGCGAUAGGCCUAACACAUGCAAGUCGAGGGGCAGCACAAGGUAGCUUGCUAUCUGGGUGGCGACCGGCGCACGGGUGCGUAACGCGUAUGCAACUUGCCCUAUACAGGAGGAUAACCCGUCGAAAGACGGACUAAUACUGCGUAUGCUCACAACUUGGCAUCAAGUGGUGAGGAAAGAAAUUCGGUAUAGGAUAGGCAUGCGUCCCAUUAGCUUGUUGGUGAGGUAACGGCUCACCAAGGCAACGAUGGGUAGGGGAACUGAGAGGUUUAUCCCCCACACUGGUACUGAGACACGGACCAGACUCCUACGGGAGGCAGCAGUGAGGAAUAUUGAUCAAUGGGCGCGAGCCUGAACCAGCCAAGUCGCGUGAAGGAUGACUGUCUUAUGGAUUGUAAACUUCUUUUAUACGGGAAUAACAAGAGUCACGUGUGACUCCCUGCAUGUACCGUAUGAAUAAGCAUCGGCUAACUCCGUG